GGGAAGUUGGCAGAGCGGAUUAAUGCAGCCGCUUGGAAAGCGGCGAAGGUUUUCAAACCUUCACAGGUUCAAAUCCUGUACUUCCCGCCA
Molecule: transfer RNA, 90 nt
Filed under: Candidatus Chloroheliaceae bacterium
Lineage: Bacteria; Bacillati; Chloroflexota; Chloroflexia; Candidatus Chloroheliales; Candidatus Chloroheliaceae
Description: tRNA-Ser
Rfam family: tRNA
About the family: Transfer RNA (tRNA) molecules are approximately 80 nucleotides in length. Their secondary structure includes four short double-helical elements and three loops (D, anti-codon, and T loops).
Source: RNAcentral